RNAcentral lists this ribosomal RNA (253 nucleotides) under uncultured bacterium. RNAcentral's name for it is "partial 16S ribosomal RNA". It matches the Rfam family "Bacterial small subunit ribosomal RNA", at positions 524 to 776 of the family's 1533-position model. The record is from RNAcentral.
UACGUAGGGUGCGAGCGUUAAUCGGAAUUACUGGGCGUAAAGCGUGCGCAGGCGGUUUUGUAAGCCAGGUGUGAAAUCCCCGGGCUCAACCUGGGAAUGGCAUUUGGGACUGCAAGGCUGGAGUGCGGCAGAGGAGACUGGAAUUCCUGGCGUAGCAGUGAAAUGCGUAGAUAUCAGGAGGAACACCGAUGGCGAAGGCGGGUCUCUGGGCCGAUACUGACGCUGAGGAGCGAAAGCGUGGUGAGCGAACAGG